AGAGCCCCGAGUGUCGGUUCACUGUGGAGACAGCGGUGGCGGAGUGGGUCUCCAGGGCUCUGGGCUGGCAAGGCCCCCGGAGGGGGUGGGGCGCGGAGGAGGCUACGGAUCCGCUUCCGCGCGGCGGGGCCGGGUGCUUGGGACGCGGCUCUGGGCUCCCGGGAUAAGGGGCUCCCGGGACAAGGGGCUCCCGGAGAGCCCAGUGGUUAGCGAUGCUGCUGUCGCCGUCGCUGCUGCUGCUGCUGCUGCUGGGGGCGCCGCGGGGCUGCGCCGAGGGUGUGGCGGCGGCGCUUACCCCCGAGCGGCUCCUGGAGUGGCAGGAUAAAGGAAUAUUUGUUAUCCAAAGUGAGAGUCUCAAGAAAUGCAUUCAAGCAGGUAAAUCGGUUCUGACCCUGGAGAACUGCAAGCAAGCAAACAAGCACAUGCUGUGGAAAUGGGUUUCAAACCAUGGCCUCUUUAACAUAGGAGGCAGUGGUUGCCUGGGCCUGAAUUUCUCCGCCCCAGAGCAGCCAUUAAGCUUAUAUGAAUGUGACUCCACCCUCGUUUCCUUACGGUGGCGCUGUAACAGGAAGAUGAUCACAGGCCCGCUGCAGUACUCUGUCCAGGUGGCGCAUGACAACACAGUGGUGGCCUCACGGAAGUAUAUUCAUAAGUGGAUUUCUUAUGGGUCAGGUGGUGGAGACAUUUGUGAAUAUCUACACAAAGAUUUGCAUACAAUCAAAGGGAACACCCACGGGAUGCCGUGUAUGUUUCCCUUCCAGUAUAACCAUCAGUGGCAUCAUGAAUGUACCCGUGAAGGUCGGGAAGAUGACUUACUGUGGUGUGCCACGACAAGCCGUUAUGAAAGAGAUGAAAAGUGGGGAUUUUGCCCUGAUCCCACCUCUGCAGAAGUAGGUUGUGAUACUAUUUGGGAGAAGGACCUCAAUUCACACAUUUGCUACCAGUUCAACCUGCUUUCAUCUCUCUCUUGGAGUGAGGCACAUUCUUCAUGCCAGAUGCAAGGAGGUACGCUGUUAAGUAUUACAGAUGAAACUGAAGAAAAUUUCAUAAGGGAGCACAUGAGCAGUAAAACAGUGGAGGUGUGGAUGGGCCUCAAUCAGCUGGAUGAACACGCUGGCUGGCAGUGGUCUGAUGGAACGCCGCUCAACUAUCUGAAUUGGAGCCCAGAGGUAAAUUUUGAGCCAUUUGUUGAAGAUCACUGUGGAACAUUUAGUUCAUUUAUGCCAAGUGCCUGGAGGAGUCGGGAUUGUGAGUCCACCUUGCCAUAUAUAUGUAAAAAAUAUCUAAACCACAUUGAUCAUGAAAUAGUUGAAAAAGAUGCGUGGAAAUAUUAUGCUACCCACUGUGAGCCUGGCUGGAAUCCCUACAAUCGUAAUUGCUACAAACUUCAGAAAGAAGAAAAGACCUGGCAUGAGGCUCUGCGUUCUUGUCAGGCUGAUAACAGUGCAUUAAUAGACAUAACCUCAUUAGCAGAGGUGGAGUUUCUUGUAACCCUCCUUGGAGAUGAAAAUGCAUCAGAAACAUGGAUUGGUUUGAGCAGCAAUAAAAUUCCAGUUUCCUUUGAAUGGUCUAAUGACUCUUCAGUCAUCUUUACUAAUUGGCACACACUUGAGCCCCACAUUUUUCCAAAUAGAAGCCAGCUGUGUGUCUCAGCAGAGCAGUCUGAGGGACACUGGAAAGUCAAAAAUUGUGAAGAAAGACUUUUUUACAUUUGUAAAAAAGCAGGCCAUGUCCUCUCUGAUGCUGAAUCAGGAUGUCAAGAGGGAUGGGAGAGACAUGGUGGAUUCUGUUACAAAAUUGACACAGUCCUUCGAAGCUUUGACCAAGCUUCCAGCGGUUAUUACUGUCCUCCUGCACUUGUAACCAUUACAAACAGGUUUGAACAGGCUUUUAUUACCAGUUUGAUCAGUAGUGUGGUAAAAAUGAAGGACAGUUAUUUUUGGAUAGCUCUUCAGGACCAAAAUGAUACGGGAGAAUACACUUGGAAGCCAGUAGGGCAGAAACCCGAGCCGGUGCAGUACACACACUGGAACACACACCAGCCGCGCUACAGUGGUGGCUGUGUUGCCAUGCGAGGAAGGCAUCCACUUGGUCGCUGGGAAGUGAAGCACUGUCGGCACUUUAAGGCAAUGUCCUUGUGCAAGCAGCCAGUUGAAAAUCAGGAAAAAGCAGAGUAUGAAGAGAGAUGGCCCUUUCACCCCUGCUAUUUGGACUGGGAGUCAGAGCCUGGUCUGGCCAGUUGCUUCAAGGUAUUUCAUAGUGAAAAAGUUCUGAUGAAAAGAACAUGGAGAGAAGCUGAAGCAUUUUGCGAAGAAUUUGGAGCUCAUCUUGCAAGCUUUGCCCAUAUUGAGGAAGAGAAUUUUGUGAAUGAGCUCUUACAUUCAAAAUUUAAUUGGACAGAAGAAAGGCAGUUCUGGAUUGGAUUUAAUAAAAGAAACCCACUGAAUGCCGGCUCAUGGGAGUGGUCUGAUAGAACUCCUGUUGUCUCUUCGUUUUUAGACAACACUUAUUUUGGAGAAGAUGCAAGAAACUGUGCUGUUUAUAAGGCAAACAAAACAUUGCUGCCCUUACACUGUGGUUCCAAACGUGAAUGGAUAUGCAAAAUCCCAAGAGAUGUGAAACCCAAGAUUCCGUUCUGGUACCAGUACGAUGUACCCUGGCUCUUUUAUCAGGAUGCAGAAUACCUUUUUCAUACCUUUGCCUCAGAAUGGUUGAACUUUGAGUUUGUCUGUAGCUGGCUGCACAGUGAUCUUCUCACAAUUCAUUCUGCACAUGAGCAAGAAUUCAUCCACAGCAAAAUAAAAGCGCUAUCAAAGUAUGGUGCAAGUUGGUGGAUUGGACUUCAAGAAGAAAGAGCCAAUGAUGAAUUUCGCUGGAGAGAUGGAACACCAGUGAUAUACCAGAACUGGGACACAGGAAGAGAAAGAACUGUGAAUAAUCAGAGCCAGAGAUGUGGCUUUAUUUCUUCUAUAACAGGACUCUGGGGUAGUGAAGAGUGUUCAGUUUCUAUGCCUAGUAUCUGUAAGCGAAAAAAGGUUUGGCUCAUAGAGAAAAAGAAAGAUACACCAAAACAACAUGGAACGUGUCCCAAAGGAUGGCUAUAUUUUAACUAUAAGUGCCUUCUGCUGAAUAUCCCCAAAGACCCAAGCAGUUGGAAGAACUGGACGCAUGCUCAACAUUUCUGUGCUGAAGAAGGGGGGACCCUGGUCGCCAUUGAAAGUGAGGUGGAGCAAGCUUUCAUUACUAUGAAUCUUUUUGGCCAGACCACCAGUGUGUGGAUAGGUUUACAAAAUGAUGAUUAUGAAACAUGGCUAAAUGGAAAGCCUGUGGUAUAUUCUAACUGGUCUCCAUUUGAUAUAAUAAAUAUUCCAAGUCACAAUACCACUGAAGUUCAGAAACACAUUCCUCUCUGUGCCUUACUCUCAAGUAAUCCUAAUUUUCAUUUCACUGGAAAAUGGUAUUUUGAAGACUGUGGAAAGGAAGGCUAUGGGUUUGUUUGUGAAAAAAUGCAAGAUACUUCUGGACACGGUGUAAAUACAUCUGAUAUGUAUCCAAUGCCCAAUACCUUAGAAUAUGGAAACAGAACUUACAAAAUAAUUAAUGCAAAUAUGACUUGGUAUGCAGCAAUAAAAACCUGCCUGAUGCACAAAGCACAACUGGUCAGCAUCACAGACCAGUAUCACCAGUCCUUCCUCACUGUUGUCCUCAACCGGCUAGGAUAUGCCCACUGGAUUGGACUGUUCACCACAGAUAAUGGUCUUAAUUUUGACUGGUCUGAUGGCACCAAAUCUUCUUUCACUUUUUGGAAAGAUGAGGAGUCCUCCCUCCUUGGUGACUGCGUUUUUGCCGACAGCAACGGACGCUGGCAUAGCACAGCCUGCGAGUCAUUUCUGCAAGGUGCCAUUUGUCAUGUGCCACCUGAAACAAGACAAUCUGAACACCCAGAGUUGUGCUCAGAAACAUCUAUUCCCUGGAUAAAAUUUAAAAGUAAUUGCUACAGUUUUUCUACAGUCCUAGACAGUAUGAGUUUUGAGGCUGCUCAUGAAUUUUGCAAAAAGGAAGGUUCUAAUCUUUUAACAAUCAAGGAUGAGGCUGAAAAUGCAUUUCUCCUAGAAGAGCUGUUUGCUUUUGGUUCUUCUGUCCAGAUGGUUUGGUUGAAUGCUCAAUUUGAUGGUAACAAUGAAACCAUAAAGUGGUUUGAUGGAACUCCCACAGACCAGUCAAACUGGGGCAUUCGGAAGCCAGACACAGACUACUUCAAGCCCCAUCAUUGUGUUGCCUUGAGGAUCCCUGAAGGAUUAUGGCAGCUAUCCCCGUGUCAAGAAAAAAAAGGCUUUAUAUGUAAAAUGGAGGCAGAUAUUCACACUGCAGAGGCGCUGCCAGAAAAAGGACCAAGUCACAGCAUCAUUCCUCUUGCGGUUGUACUGACACUGAUAGUCAUUGUGGCCAUUUGCACACUUUCCUUCUGCAUAUACAAGCAUAACGGUGGCUUCUUCAGGAGACUUGCAGGGUUUCGGAAUCCUUACUAUCCUGCAACCAACUUUAGUACAGUAUAUUUAGAAGAAAAUAUUCUCAUUUCUGAUCUUGAGAAGAGUGACCAAUAAUAAUGAGGUCAGAGAAUGCCACAGACACCAGGAAAAAAGUGUACUGAGCAUGGUGGCACGCACCUGUAGUCCCAGCUACUUAGGAGGCUGAGGGAAGAGGAUCAACUGAGCCCAGAAGUUGAAGGCUGCAGUGAGCUAUGGUUGCACCACUGCACUCCUGCCUGGGCAACUGAAUGAGACCCCACCUCAAAAAAGUGCUGUUCUAGAAACAGAGGUACUAAGGUGAGCAACUUGGGGUAAGGGCUAUCUUUUCAUGCCACUUAUUUUCUAAUGAGGGAAAAUUGACAGUAACUCAGUAAAGAAAUGCAUAUGCAUAAAAUAGCAAGUGGUUAUGAAAAUGAAGUAAGGUUCCAUGAUAGAGAGAAACUGGGGGACUCUCAGGGCCUCCCUGAGAGUGUGCAUUUUAAUUAUUACAACCAACUGCCUCAAAACCAGUGGCCACUAAUCACAAGGGGGAGCUCUGAGAGAAAGUAUGAAUGAAUUUCUAAGAGGCAAACCAUCAUCAUUAGAAAUACAAUUUGAAGAGCAUACCACUAAGAAUGGAAUCCUUGUGGCCUGCAACAGUUAAUCCAGCUUCCAAAAGCAGCUCUUUGCUACUGUUAUAAUAAUUUACACACUGGGACAGUCUACCUCCAUAAUUUUUUUAAGUAUUGGGACUUCAUUUUUUAAAAGAUAUUAUAUUAUGUGGCAGUUGCAUAUUUAUGACUCAAAAAAUAAUUGGCUUGAACUCACCAGAUGGUAUAAAAGCCCAAUUUAACCAUCUUUUGAGUGGAAUUAAAGUUCUGUUCUUUUCAAUGGACUUGGUAAAAACUGCUAAUCAACCAGCCUUCCAGUCAAGGUAUAUAGUCACACAUAAUAAUUUGACAAAAUACACCAUUAGGAAAGUGAUUUUGCAGAAAGAAGCUGUAUUGCUUCUCAGUGCUCCAUACUUUGAUGUUUAGUAUUGAACAACAUCUCCAGAUAAUCUGGACCCAUGGACAGAUCACACACUUCUUGCCAUUACUGAAUUUGCAGAAAUAGUACUGAAGUAUUCUGCUACAUUUUUAUAUUUGCAUUUUUUUUGAAACUUUUUUUCAUUUUUUUUUUUUUUUUUUGGAGAUGGAGUCUUGCUCUGUUGCCAGGCAGGAGUACAGUGGCAUGAUCUCAGCUCACUGCAACCUUCAACUGCCUGGUUCGAGCAAGUUUCCUGCCUCAGCCUCCCGAGUAGCUGUGAUUACAGGCACAUGCCACCAUGCCCAGCUAAUUUUUGUAUUUUUAGUAGAGACAGGGUUUCACCAUGUUGUCCAGGAUGGUCUCGAUCUCCUGAUCUCGUGAUCCACCCGCCCCAGCCUCCCAAAGUGCUAAGAUUACAGGCAUGAGCCACCGCACCUGGCCUCAUCUGUAUUUUUAAUGUGAACUAGAUUUUAUAGCUAUAAUUCGAAAAGAAAAAAAAGUAGCAGGUAAUGGGUAUAUUAUACACUAUUUGCGUGAUGGUUACACCAGACUUUACCACUACAUACUGUAUUUAUGUAACAAAAUUACACUUGUACUCCUUACAUUUAUGCCAAAAAAGCGGCAGGAUCACAAAUUCACACAUAGUUAAUGUGCCCCUCCAACAGUCAAUUAUGUUCUAUGACUAACCUGAGGAUCUUUAUAGAAUCUGAGUAAUGGAAAUGCCUGGGUUUUUCCAUUUAACAAUAUAUUGGGCUCUUACAGUUACAACAGUCUUCUUUCGGGUUAAAUAUUUCUUCUCUUGAAGGGUCCACUCCUUAUUAAAGAUAAGAUUGAACUGAAUGUUUACUUAAACGUUCAGUCUUUUGGAGUUUCUUUACUCUUCUCAAAAUGGUGGUUGGAUAUAUAAGAACUUGCUGUGUCCUGGUAGUGUUGAGGGGAGAAGGUGACAACUUACUGUGGAUGUAUGUUAGCUGGUGUCCACUGAGAAUAGCUGUCUGGCCUCACUCCUGGGAAUUCUGCUGGCAUCUGCUGUGAAGUCUGCAGUUGCUUUAAUCUGUAGUCUGUUCUCUUUGAUUUGGCCUCAUUCUGGCUGUCCCUGGUGCUGUCUUAUCUCUUGAGAACUGGCUGUGUCUCCUGUUGAAUUCCCUAUCCGAACACUGCAGUUCUUGGCUACAAGGCAGUCACUUCACCCCUGCAGUGGUGAGAUCCCAUUAGCUACCAUUAGCUACUCUUUUCGUCCAGAAAGGCGAAAUGCCAUAGCAAACAAUCCCACAGUCUUGGUGGAUUAACACAGCAAAGGUUUAUUUCUCACCCACACCUGCAUGGGCUGGCAAGAGGACUUUGCUCUGUUCAGUCAUUCAUGGGUCCAUGCUUCUCCUAUAUAGCCAGCCCUCUGUCUCCUAAGGCCUGGAGUCCUCCAUGGGCCUCCAAUCUGUGGCUGACAGAGGAUGUUGACUUGAGACCCAUCUUUGAUUCAUUAUGGAGCUUCCACAGGCUGUUGAAAUCCUCUAAGUCAAAAGUCCUCAAACUGGGGACACAUGCCUAAGGAAUACAGGAGCAUGGGUAUUUAAGAAACUUAAUUUCCAGAAUCUUCAUGUAUAUUUUUUCUUAAAACUGAUUUACCUGAGAGCACCCCUGGUUCUUCUUUCCCACCUCUCUUUACACAAAUGCCUUUCUCUACCUUUAAAAAGAAAAAGAAAAAGAAAUGGCUUUCAUUUCAGAUCUUACUAUGGGAAAAUCCUCCAUGGCUCCAAAGAAAAAUAUUCGAAGUAUUGAUGUCAGUGAAGCUUCUUUUAAUAAAGAAAUUGUAAACUCAUUCUGUAGAUCCUCACGUCUUUCUCUGUGUUAGGACAUUUUUCUGUUAAAGUUGAAGCGAUGACUUAGAAAUGAGUUAUUUUGCCCCAUGUUCAUAUUCUGAAUUAAUAUGUAUUAUACAGUGGAACAGCUGGAGUGCUACUUUCAUUUGAAAAUUUAUCUCAUCCACUGCCUGACUAUUGUCAGAGAACAAGCUGUAGAAAAAGUCUGGUGAAAGCAAAGUGAAGCAUGUGUUGCCAAGAACCUAACAUCUUAUGUUAUCCAGAAGAAAGUCCCAAGGCUUGAUUUAUCUUAGAUUUCUAUGUGAGUUGUGAGGAUGAGUAUUAACAAGCUUAUUUGAACUGAAAAAUGAAUUCAGACCUUUUCUGAAGUUUUUUUUAUUUGGCUCAUUGGUUUGACAACAAGGAUUGACUUUACCCAUUAAGUUUUAUGAUGAACAUUUUGUAUUAAUUGAAUGAACUAAAUCUGCUGCUCUUGUGUUCUGAUUAAAGCUUGUAAUAGGGUAAAGGCAUUUUAAUAGAAAAAUAGUAUUGACUGAACUAUAAUGAAGUGAUAUUUUACUUUUCCCAGCCUUCAUUUGUAUAUCAGGUAAAGCAAGAUGCCUGUAAGUGAAAGAGUAACAGGCAUAAUGAACAGUUAUUUGAAGAGUCUUAGUAAAGCCUUUUAAUUUUACUUGUAGGAAAUUGACAUGAAUCAUUCUAAUGACUGGGUAACAAAUCACUUUGCAAGUAGGGUGUUUCCACUUCUAUGCUUUAAAAAAAACUGAAGGAGAACAUAAUCAAGCAGUUGGUUGAUAUAGAAAAUAAUUUUUAAUGUAGAAUCACUGAUUUUUUGGCACCUAUGAGAAAGGAAUUCAAGUAAUAGAGGGAUAUUGUUAUAACAAACCUCCUUUUAUUCCCAUCUACUUAUUUAUAUGAACAAAGUUUCUAUGUUAAGAUAAGUUAGAGAGUGCUGUGGAAACAAACCCUGUAAUACUAGUGGUUAAAAACAAAACUCAGAAGUUAAUUUAUUGAUCAUGCGAAGCCUGCUAUGGUCAGGACACUUGCCUCCAAGCAGUAACUCACAGAUCCAGGCUGUGUCCUACCUCCAGAACAUGGGGCUUCCAGUGCUGCUAUGGCACUAGAGAACUGUUAAGUUCCCAGGUUUAGGAAGAAACACGUGGCACUUCCACUCGCGUGUCAUUGGCUGGAACUAGUCACAUGACCUAACCUAACUGAAAGGAAAUCCAGGAAGUCUUCUGCUUUGUGUGCUCAGGAAAGAGAGGAUAAGGGACUACAGACAGCACCAGCAAUUGCUACCAGAGUUUCUCAACAUGUAUAGCUACAAAAAAAGAAGAGAGAGAACAGAAUUGAUGCUGAACCUUGAUUUAUACUAGCAGUUUUUAAUACUAAUUAAUUUUUAUCUAUGAUAUAUCCAUUUCAUUAACAGAUCCAUUUGCUAUCAUUUUAGUUUGACAUAUACUAUCUUAAUCUUUGUAACAUAUUUAUUUUGUUCUGAUCAAUUGUAUACUAACAAUAAUUGAAAUGACAACUCAAUAUAGAAGAAAAUGUGUAAUACUUAGAGCCUAUGUUCACAGGGACUUCUUAAAAAAUAAUUUUAGGCUGGGCGCGGUGGCUCACGCCUGUAAUCCCAGCAACUUUGGGAGGCCGAGGCGGGUGGAUCACGAGGUGAGGAGAUCGAGACCAUCCUGGCUAACAAGGUGAAACCCCGUCUCUACUAAAAAUACAAAAAAAUUAGCUGUGUGUUGCGGCGGGUGCCUGUAUUCCCAGCUACUCGGGAGGCUGAGGCAGGAGAAUGGCAUGAACCUGGAAGUCGGAGCUUACAGUGAGCCGAGAUGGCGCCACUGCACUCCAGCCUGGGCGACAGAGCGAGACUCUCUCUCAAAAAAAAAAAAAAAAAAAAAAAAUUAAUUUAUAUACAUAUUUUUACUGCAGGAAAAUAUGACAAGGUAAUGAAUAAAAUAUUUCACAAAUUAAAGUAUAUCUCAUUAGGAUAAAAUUCUGUGGGGGAGUUGGAAUGGAAAUACAAGAUUGAAAGAAAGUAAUAUCUCUGACUGCUGAAGAGGUUAUUUCUAUUUUUAAAUAGAUUAUGAUAGAAUUCAAAUUGUUGUAGUAUCUCCAGUCAAAGGAACUUAGGCUUCUUGAGAAAGUGGUUGAUUGCAGGUCUAAGGCAGGAAAAUACAAGAUGAAACUGGAAUAUCUUGUGAUGGCAGAAAAUAAGGAGGUGCUCACAAAAAGAUGGCACAUGUCUGAAGGCUACAGGAACCAACCUGAAGGAGCUCUCCAGUGGAAAUGCUGGAACAAUUUGAGCAAACAAUAAAAAAUUAUAAUAUUGGAUUAUAACCCACACAAUAAAUAUCUGUGUGUCCAUACUGAUGUAAACAAUUGAAUGAGUGAAUGAAUGAAUGAAAAGAAGAAACAGUUCUUCUCCCCAGUAAAUUCCAAUUGAUAAAUGUAGAAGAAAUGGGAGAAACAAAAAUCACUAUCAGGAAAACACAACAGUAAUAAUUGUUGGCAAGACCUACCAGUUGGUGCAAAAGUUAGUGGGUGAAUGUUUGAGGAAAAACAGAAUAUUUGCAUAACCUUAGAGUAUUUUCCCCAAAAUAAUCACUAAUUACAAAGAGAAAGUAAUAACUUUACAGUAGAGAAACUUCUUUAAUCAAGGGAUCAAGGUUAACAGAAGCAGUAAUAAGCCACAUCAGCAUCAUGUACCCCCUGGUAUGGCAUUGAGAAGGGCACAUGACUUCUUUGGUAUCCUCCCCAAAAUGCAUAAUCUCAAUCAUGAAAAAACAUUAGACAAAUCCAAGUUGAGGGACAUUCCACAAGAUAAAUGAUCACUUCAAAAGUGUCCUGGUCAUGAAAGAUAAGGAAAGAUUGAGGAAAUGUCAAGGAUUGGAGGACACUAAAGAGACAUGACAACUACGUGCAAGUUGAAAUCCUCAAAUGGAUCAUGGAACAGAAAAUGGUCAUUAUGGGAAAAUGGGAAAGUAAAAUAAAGUCUAUGGUUUAAUUAAUAGUAUUGUACCAGUAUUAGUUUCUUUGUUUUGAUGAUUAUACCAUGGUUUUAUGAGAUGUACCAUUAGAAGAAGCUGAAGGAGGCUGUACAGGAACUCUCUGGACUAAGUUGGCAAUUUUUCUGUAAACCUAAAAUCAUUUCAAUAUAAAAAGUUAACAUUUUGCUAUGAUAUUAGACACCACUGGAUAUAUUAAAAGGGUGAUAAGGCACUUUUAUUUUUACAUGUUGUUAUUUAUAAUAUUCUGAAAAUUGCAUCCUAAUUAUAAAAAAUUUUGGCUGUCAACUUAGAAAUUCGUGAAGCAAUAUGCCUUCUUUCAUGAUUCUUUUAACAAUUUUGUAUGCUAGCCAAAAAGUUUGAGGACCACUGCUAUAUGACAUUUUUUCUCUCAUGUCUCAGAUGAGAAGCAGGGCAAAACCCUGUGUGUCUCCAACUUACCUAACACACCAUCCGCUGUAGGAUUAGGAGCCAGACACGUCUUGCUGCAGGCCAUGCUCACUUCCAUCUGCUCUCUUUUCCCUGCAUUCUUCUUUUGUGUCACUUCCCUGACUUGUCAGUACUUCUAAUUCUCAUAGUCCUGCUAUCCCCUACAACCUCGUGCCUUAGUAUUAAUAGGGUACAGCAGGGAAAAACUCACUUAGUUUCCAUUUUGUUCUUGGAGAAGAAAAAUUUGGAGACAUUUCCAAAAUGGCAUGUACAUCAUAAUUCUUAUUGCCAACAUUUAUAAGAAACUUUGACUGUAGUGAUUAUCAAGAUACAUGCUUGGAAUAUUUAUUCCCUCUUUCCCCACCUUUCAAAAUAAGGAUUUAGAGCAGGAGUUGGCAGGGCCAAAUCCAGCCUGCAGCCUAUUUUGGAAAUAAAGUUAUUGGGAUGCUGCCAUCCCCAUUCACUCACAUACUGUGCAUGACUGCUUUCAUGCUUCCAUGACAGAGCUGAGUGGUUGCAACAGAGACCGAAUGGCCUGCAAAGCCUAAAAUAUUUACUUUCUGGACCCUUACAGGAAGUUUGCCAACCCCUGAUUUAGAAAGUGAAAACCUAAAUGGGGAAGUCUUACAUACUUUAACGUAUCUUAGCAAGCACUGUUAUGUUAAUGUAUAUGGACAGCACUUAAAAUAUAUCAAUAAACAAUUAUGAUCAGUAAACAUUUAUUUAGAGCCUAUUGUGGCCCAGAGAGUGUCCUGUGCUCAGAGGCUAUAAAUACCAAUAACACCCCAUCUCUCCCCUCAUGGAACUCAGUCUCAGGGGAGAGGAAUAUGUAAAUGAUAAGUGCAAUGCAAUGUGACAUAAAUAAUAUCAAGAAGAAGAGAAUCAGAAAAAAAAGGAGAGGGGACUGAUUAAUUCUGUCAGAAGUAGAGAAAGGCUUAACAAGAUAAGUGAUAUGUAUUAAAUUGUAGGAAAUGUUAGAUAAACAGCUUUCUUUAGUAUUUUUUGAGUUAGAAAGCAAGUUUUUAGCUUGGGGUCAGAAUAUUUUUAGAGAAAAAGUUUAAAAUGUGCCUAAAUCUGAAAUUCUGGAUUUAAAAAAGUGAAAAUCUGCAUGUUCCUCUAAUACCUAAUGACGAAUUCUAAUUGCAGAAGGAUGCCAAUAACUAAAACCACAAAAUGAACCCUAUGUAUACCGGUGACCUUCUUUACUCAGAAUUAAUUAACACAAGCACUUGUUUCUUGCAGAGCACUUUGCUGUAAUUUAGAACAAAUUAAGGGAAAAAAUCAUUCAAGUGCUGUUUUCUUCACACCAUGAAUAUACAGAGCUUGGUAGGAGCUGGAAACCCGACUCACAGAUUUAGGAAACAGUGGGUUCUUGUCCCUGUGGACAUCAGAACUUGGGGGACGGAGAGAUAGAGAACCAGAAGGCAGAACAAGGAAAAACUCAAAGAAAGGAAUGGGGAGGAAUGGAAACGUAACAGGACAUGUUGCCUCAGUGAGUCACCAAGGGCUUUGGAGUUCUUAGCCCAAAAUGUGGUUCUGUGGAGGCUGAGGACAAACUUCAGGACAGAGCAUGCCUUAAUCGAUGUGCUAAGCCACUGGCUCGGGCAGUCCUUAAGCAAGGGCUCCUCUGAUCAGACAAGGAAUUGUUUCCUUCCCUUUUACUCCAGAUGACACCUAAAGGUGCAAAAGAAAACCAUCUCUGCACACUACCAAACAGACAGUGCGUGAACGAAGCAGACCCUCCUGACCACAGCCAAGGACUGGAGAGCUUGGUGAAACUGGUGCUCAAGGUAGAAAUUCCCUGCGAUUGCUACUGCAACUUAUACUAAACGUCCCAAGUGAAGUGAAGGGAGAAAAAAGAGAUAUUAAGCAAGAAGGCCCACUUGUUUAUGCAUUGCUUUAGAAGAUAAUCUGUAAUUGCAUAUUAAUAAGUAAAGUUAACGUUACACUUAAAUAAUAACCUAUAUUUGUUACUGCAUUUGAAUCACUCUUAUCUGACUUAGUUGGUCAGGAAAUCAAAAAAGUCAGUUAAAGGAAGGAAUCAUAAGAAUUGUUUUAACAUUAGUUUAAACAUUUUAUUUUCUAUUAGAACACAUAAACGUACAUUUAUCCACUAAUCUUUUGGUGUAGGGACAAUGUCAUUCCUUUUAAUAUUCCUUCCUGUUGGUUUUAUGCAUAAAGUAUAUCUAUAAGGUGUUGUUCACAAUCUCUGGUUUUUCGUAAAUGAAAAUGAAACCCUGUCUCUGAAAAAAAUACAAAAAAGUUAGUAGAGUGUGGUGGUGCAUGCCUGUAGUACAGCUACUUGGGAGGCUGAGCCGGGGGAGAUUGAGAUUGCAGUGAGCUGUGAUUGCACCACUGCACUCCAGCCUGGGCAACAGAGUGAGACCCUGUCUCAAAAAUAAAGAUAGCUGUAGAACAAUUUGAGUGCAAGCCCCAAAUGUGUAUAACUUUCCUCAAUAUCUGUAGUUGUCUUGCUCAAUAAUAGCUCACUGCAAUGUCAAACUCCUGGACUCUAGCAAGCUUUCUCCCUCAGCCUCCUGAGUAGCUGGGCCCGCAGGCACAUACCACCAUGCCCACCUUAUUAUUUAAAAAAACUUUUGUGGAGACGGGGUCUCACUCUGUUACCCAGGCUGGUCUCAAACUCCUGACCUCAAGUAGUCCUCCCUCCUCACCCUGUCAAAGUGCUAGGAUUGUAGGCAUGAACCAUUGCACCUGGCCCUAUUUUAUGUUUUACAAACUGUAUAAUUACAAUGUCUAGUACAAUUGGCAUUAACGGAUUUCGGAACAAACACAACCAACUGGUGCUAAGCGUAUGAGGGAACCCAUGGGUGGAGCAGCCUGGACUGCCUUAUUUCACAGGUAGCUUGGCUGGUCCCACAGCACAGGUAAGUGGUAAGCUGCGGCUUCAGCUGUUCGUGUUUGAGACUUAUUCCAUGUACAGAAAGUUAGACUUUCCCUCAGAACUGAACUCUGGAAUCCACACAGAAUAGAUCUGAGCAUAAAUAAGCAAGAAAGAAAGAGAAUAGCUCCCCAGGCCACCUGUCAGAUUGGAACUUGAUUUAACUUGUCUGAAAAAGGAAAUCACGGAGGUGCUGAGGAAGGAGUGGGAAGAGAAACAGUCCCCUAUGGAAGCAGGCUCAGAGACAGGUGUCCUCAGCAGUUUUGGGAGAAGGGACUUGCACUUCCAAAGCCAAGGCUCCUAGGGAUAUGGCUAAAUGAUUUUAGGGUUCCAAGGACAUCCCUGUGGUGAGGUGGAUACAUCAUUAGGAUCUGCUGUAAGCACAACUUCCUUCAUUUCAUUUCCGUGUUCACCAAAAAUCUCUAGCUAGGAUUUAAGUCCUCCGUGUAGGCGUGUCUGGCACUGAGAGAAAGUCUGACUCCGACUUUGAGUAUAUUAGACCCCUAGGAGGAUCUAAUAAUUUCCAAGGGGUUUGGGGGGAACAGGUGGUGUUUGGUUACAUGAGUAAGUUUUUUAGUGGUGAUUUCUGAGAUUUUUGGUGCACCCAUCAUGCAAGCAGUGUACGCUGUAACCAAUGUGUAGUCUUUUUUUUUUUUUUUGAGACGGAGUCUCGCUCUGUCUCCCAGGCUGGAGUGUAGUGGCACAAUCCCUGCUCACUGCAAGCUCUGCCUCCCAGGUUCACGCCAUUCUCCUGCCUCAGCCUGCCAAGUAGCUGGGACUACAGGCGCGUGCCACCAUGCCUGGCUAAUUUUUUGUAUUUUUAGUAGAGACGGGGUUUCACCGUGUUAGCCAGGAUGGCCUCGAUCUCCUGACCUCGUGAUCCACCCGCCUUGGCCUCCCAAAGUGCUGGGAUUACCGGCGUGAGCCACCGCGCCUGGCCACCAAUGUGUAGUCUUUUAUCCCUCAUCUCUCUCCCACCCUUCCCCCUGAGUCCCCAAAGUCCAUCAUAUCAUUCUUAUGCCUUUGGGUCCUCAUAGCUUAGCUCCCACUUAUGAGUGAGAACAUACGACGUUUGGUUUUCCAUUCCUGAGUGACUUCACUUAGAAUAAUUGUCUCCAAUUCCAUCCAGGUCACUGCGAAUGCCAUUAUUUCAUUCCUUUUUAUGGCUGAUUAGUAUUCAUAUAUAUAUAUAUACACACACACACACACACACAAAUAUAUAAUACAUAUACAUGCACAUAUAUAUACAUAUACAUAUAGAUAUAUACAUAUACAUAUACAAUUUCUUUAUCCACUCAUUGAUUGAUGGGCAUUUGGGCUGGUCCCACAUUUUUGCAAUUGCGAAUUGUGCUGCUAUGAACAUGCGUGUACAAGUUAUCUUUUUGGUAUAAUGUCAUCUUUUCCUCUGGGUAGACAGCCAGUAGUGGGAUUGCUGGAUCGAAUGGUAGUUCUACCUUUAGUUCUUAAAGGAAUCUCCACACUGUUUUCCAUAGUGGUUGUACUAGUUUACAUUCCCACCAGCAGUGUAAAAGUGUUCCCUUUUCACCACAUCCACACCAACAUCUAUUUUUUUAUAUUUUUUUGGUUAUGGCCAUUCUUGCAGGAGUAAAGUGGUAUCACAUUAUGGUUUCAAUUUGCAUUUCCCCUGAUCAUCAGUGAUGUCGAGCAUUUUUUCAUAUGUUUGUUGGCCAUUUGUGUAUCUUCUUUUGAGAAUUGUGUAUUCAUGUCCUUAGUCCACUUUUUGGUGGGAUUGUUUUUUCCUUGCUAAUUUGUUUGAGUUCCAUGUCGAUUCUGGAUGUUAGUCCUUUGUCAGAUGUAUAUAUUGUGAAGAUUUUCUCCCACUCUGUAGGUUGUCUGUGUACUCUGCUGAUUGUUUCUUUUGCUGUGCAGAAGCUCUUUAGUUUAAUUAAGUCUUGUCUAUUUAUCUUUGUUUUUGUUGCAUUUGCUUUUGGGUUCUUGGUCAUGAAGUCUUUGCCUAAGCCAAUGUCUAGAAGGGUUUUUCCAAUGUUAUCUUCUAGAAUGUUUAUGGUUUCAAGUCUUAGAUGUAAGUCCUUGAUUCAUCUUGAGUUGAUUUUUGUAUAAGGUGAGAGAUGAGGAUCCAGUUUCAUUCUUCUACAUGUGGCUUGCCAAUUAUCCCUGAACCAUUUGUUGAGUGGAGUGUCCUUUCCCCACUUUAUGUUUUUGUUUGCUUUGUUGAAGAUCAGUUGGCUGUAAGUAUUUGGCUUUAUUUCUGAGAUCUCUAUUCUGUUCCAUUGGUCUAUGUGACUAUUUUUAUACCAGUACCAUGCUGUUUUGGUGACUAUGGCCUUAUAGUUUGAAGUCAGAUAAUGUGAUGCUUCCAGAUUUGUUCUUUUUGCUUAGUCUUGCUUUGGCUAUGUGGGUUCUUUUUUGGUUCCAUAUGAAUUUUAGGAUUUUUUUUCUAGUUCUGUGAAGAAUUAUGGUAGUAUUUUGAUGGGAAAUGCAUUGAAUUUGUAGAUUGCUUUUGGCAGUAUGGUCAUUUUCACAAUAUUGAUUCCACCUAUCCAUGAACAUGGUAUGUGUUCCCAUUCGUUUGUGUCAUGUAUGCUUUCUUUCAGCAGUGUUUUAUAGCUUUCCUUGUAGAGGUCUUUCACCUCCUUGGUUAAGUAUAUUCCUAAACAUUUUAUUUCUCCUUGUAAAUUAAUAAACUGACAUUGUGAUGUCC
This is an RNA transcript of Homo sapiens (human), 16373 nucleotides long. It is a transcript of the gene named phospholipase A2 receptor 1, with no coding region annotated. NCBI's taxonomy places the organism in Eukaryota, Metazoa, Chordata, Mammalia, Primates, Hominidae. The transcript has 32 exons. The record is from RefSeq and is marked reviewed.